GAGUCUUUAAGUCUGUGGCUAAAGCAGCAUGAUAAUAGAAAGAAGUUUUCAUGAGAUUCACGAUUGGACUCAAGCUAAUUAAGUCUUGCAUAUGACAGAUGCUUAGGGUUUGAUGAGUUUUCAUGACCUGUGUCCUGUUGUGACUCUCGAUAGAAGAACUGAAUCAUACGUUAACUAUACCUAGAGGUUCUAUCUUCAGUUCUAUUAGAUUGUUACUACAUAUUGUUAGAUGUCAUUGAUGGA
RNAcentral lists this long non-coding RNA (243 nucleotides) under Elaeis guineensis (African oil palm). RNAcentral describes it as "long non-coding RNA (EGUI_LNC051141)". Lineage: Eukaryota; Viridiplantae; Streptophyta; Magnoliopsida; Arecales; Arecaceae. The record is from RNAcentral.